This 486-nucleotide ribosomal RNA is filed under the name uncultured bacterium. RNAcentral's name for it is "partial 16S ribosomal RNA". It matches the Rfam family "Bacterial small subunit ribosomal RNA", at positions 30 to 507 of the family's 1533-position model. The record is from RNAcentral.
AUUGAACGCUGGCGGCAUGCCUUACACAUGCAAGUCGAACGGCAGCACGGGUGCUUGCCCCUGGUGGCGAGUGGCGAACGGGUGAGUAAUACAUCGGAACAUGUCCUGUAGUGGGGGAUAGCCCGGCGAAAGCCGGAUUAAUACCGCAUACGAUCUACGGAUGAAAGCGGGGGACCUUCGGGCCUCGCGCUGUAGGGUUGGCCGAUGGCUGAUUAGCUAGUUGGUGGGGUAAAGGCCUACCAAGGCGACGAUCAGUAGCUGGUCUGAGAGGACGACCAGCCACACUGGGACUGAGACACGGCCCAGACUCCUACGGGAGGCAGCAGUGGGGAAUUUUGGACAAUGGGCGAAAGCCUGAUCCAGCAAUGCCGCGUGUGUGAAGAAGGCCUUCGGGUUGUAAAGCACUUUUGUCCGGAAAGAAAUCCUUGGCCCUAAUACGGUCGGGGGAUGACGGUACCGGAAGAAUAAGCACCGGCUAACUACGUG